This is a long non-coding RNA of Manis pentadactyla (Chinese pangolin), 288 nucleotides long. RefSeq lists it as uncharacterized. Lineage: Eukaryota; Metazoa; Chordata; Mammalia; Pholidota; Manidae. The record is from RefSeq and is a predicted model, not a curated record. The transcript is spliced from 3 exons.
CUGGAUUGGAAAAGAAUGAAAAGAAAAAUGUACUCACAGGAAUUGUUCUCUACAGACAUCUUAAACGUUAUCUUCUAACUGAAGAACAGUUACAAGAAAAUAACUAUCCUCAACCCAACCCUGACAAACCUGGAAGUAUUCUUUUAAGGCUGGGCAGGACAAAAAUUCUCACAAAUGAUGCUUCUAAGAAGAUAUGUUGUCGAUGUGGGGAAAUAUACGGUGUGACUCCUACAGGCAAACACAGUAGGGUACAAGAAUGUAACUACCACUGUGGACCAGUGUUGUGUC